Molecule: long non-coding RNA, 1368 nt
Filed under: Homo sapiens (human)
Lineage: Eukaryota; Metazoa; Chordata; Mammalia; Primates; Hominidae
Description: HSALNT0178881
Source: RNAcentral
AUAUAUUAAUACACAAAAACAUAAAAUUUGUAUAUAUAUAAUAUAUAUAUAGAACAUAUUAAGAAUUCCUACCUGCAAGUCAGUAAGAAAAUACAUAUAGCUCAAUAAAAAAAUGGGCAAGAGGAUUGAACAGACACUUCACAAACUGGAUAUCCAAGUGAAAUGGUGCUCAACAUCAUCAUUCAUUAAGGAAAUUCAAACAAAACCCUACUAGAAUGGCUAACAUUGAUAGAAAAUACCAAGCACUAGGGGUAUAAUAGUAAAUAAUAAAGACGCAAUUCCUGCCUACAUGCUGCCUAAGGUAAAUAGGGUGAUUCAGAAAAUAUAAAAGCAAGCUGGGUGUAGUGGCUCACACCUCUAAUUCUAAGCCCUUUUGGAGGCUCAAGCAGGAGGAUUGUUUGAGGCCAGGACUUCGAGACCAGCCUGGGCAACCAAGUGAGAUCCCCCCCAGUCUCUACAAAAAAAAAAAAAAAAAAAAAAAUUUAGAAAAGAAAAUAUAAAGGCACUAAAAAUACUGUGCAAUAAGGUUUAUGAUGGGGAAGUAACCACAGCUAUGAAAAGCAAAGACAUUAUUUUUCUUGGCUAGAGAACUUCAUGGUAGACAAUUAUGGUACAGGUUAGACCACUGUCUCAAAAGGGGAUCCAAAGCAGAAAAUGAAAAACUGUUUUUGCACAAAUGCUACCUUGGAAUUCUGAGACCAUUAAAAUUCGUAUACAAUUGUCUAGUAUUAUUCCAGUUAAAGAGAGCCCUGCUAAUUUUAGCCCUCUGCCAGACUUUAAAAAAAAAAACAAAAAAACAAAAAAAAAACUUAGCUACUGUUGCAAAAUGUGCUCAAGGAAAUGAAAUGGCAAGAUAAUUACAGUAGUCCCAUCUUGGUAACUAGCUUGCAGUCAUGCUUCCCUGGGACUUCUACCAUGUAUCUGGGUCUCUUUUGAAUCUCAGCUUGUCUCACGUUCUUCUUAGAAUCCAUUUUGAUCAUGAUAUGAACUCUGAUGUCAUUUAGCUAAAAAGUAUUGAAUAGAGAAUGGAGAAAAUGAUCCCCCUUCCUUUUAUACUUUAUGAGUUUUUAAACUAAUUUCUUUAUUUGGAUCAAAUUUGCAUUUAAUCUUUUUUAAGGAAAAAUAUCUACUUACUAAGAAAAUGUGUUUCAGAGUUUACAACGGCUAGAGACUUGCUGAAUGUUGUCCUCAAUCUCAGGAAUGCUUGGUCAUCAGCCCUCAAAAGGAAACAUAAAAGUUCCUUAUCUGACCGUGUGUUUGCGCACACACCUUCCCAAAGCCAUUGAGUCCCUCCCUUUUCCUGCCAUUCAAACUGGCCAGAAAGGAUUCUUUCAAAGGAAAAUGGUAACAUUAGAAGUCUUUUACCCA